RNAcentral lists this transfer-messenger RNA (363 nucleotides) under Escherichia coli. RNAcentral describes it as "Standard tmRNA". It matches the Rfam family "transfer-messenger RNA". From Rfam's summary of the family: Bacterial tmRNA, also known as 10Sa RNA or SsrA, is named for its dual tRNA and mRNA-like properties. Its role is to liberate the mRNA from a stalled ribosome. The record is from RNAcentral. Lineage: Bacteria; Pseudomonadati; Pseudomonadota; Gammaproteobacteria; Enterobacterales; Enterobacteriaceae.
GGGGCUGAUUCUGGAUUCGACGGGAUUUGCGAAACCCAAGGUGCAUGCCGAGGGGCGGUUGGCCUCGUAAAAAGCCGCAAAAAAUAGUCGCAAACGACGAAAACUACGCUUUAGCAGCUUAAUAACCUGCUUAGAGCCCUCUCUCCCUAGCCUCCGCUCUUAGGACGGGGAUCAAGAGAGGUCAAACCCAAAAGAGAUCGCGUGCAAGCCCUGCCUGGGGUUGAAGCGUUAAAACUUAAUCAGGCUAGUUUGUUAGUGGCGUGUCCGUCCGCAGCUGGCAAGCGAAUGUAAAGACUGACUAAGCAUGUAGUACCGAGGAUGUAGGAAUUUCGGACGCGGGUUCAACUCCCGCCAGCUCCACCA